UCUUCACUCAUAUCUGACACCCCCUCGCUCGUGAGCUGUCAGCGAAAGACGAACGCACGCACAGCCAUAGAGGAGGGACGCGACAUCGUCUCGCGCAGAGCUGCAGGUGCACGGAACGCUUUCAAUGGUGUCGGCGUCUCCGCCGCAGCGCGACCGCGGCUCGCCGCCAACGCCACCACUGCCCGAGCCGCAAGACGUCGAUGCCCCGGCCGCCAGCACCGUCCAGGCUCUGCGGCAGGCAGUCGAGGCGCAGGAGGCCCAUGUACGUCUCCUGCGCGCGCGCCAAGCAGCGAGAGAGGCGCUGCUGCGCCACACUCGGCGAUUACUGGCGGCCAACGACUCGAUCGAGUCGCCUGGCUCGGUGGAGCAACUUGUGCGUCAGGUGGAGACGAGUCUCCAGAAACUUCAGCAGGCCCACAGUGAGGCUGCUGCACCGGCGGCGACCGCGGGAGACGAUGUGGCGCCGACUUCCGCGCCGUCACUGACACCCCAGAAUGCCGCUGGCGAUGCCGACGCUAGCGCCGAUCCGCUGGCUCGCAUCUUUCACAGCGGCGUGGAGGCGCAGCUGGCUGCGGUCGCCGAGCCACCGCACACUCUUCCGGCGUCGACGCUCGCAUCACGCUCAUCGAUGGCGAAGAGAAAGAAGGAGGCUGACGAAUCCGGCUUGACGAACGCCGGGAGCACCACCUCCUCGCCACCGGAUGUGCCGUUCCCGCCGAGAAGUACUGCGAUGACCGCCCUUCUCGCCGUGUCCGCAUCUCGGCAGGAGGCCGGCCACGCCGCGAUGCUCGCUGCCCUCAGCGCCCUCGAGCUUCCUUUCAUGAGCAACAGCGGCGCGACUGAGGCGGGCCGCGACGUCCACAACGCAGAGCCAGCCUGGCUGCGUCAAGUGGACGGUGACGGUGCCAACGACGACGACUCGGCGCCUGAGGAGCAGCAGCAAGAGAAGUAUGGAAAUCGCGGCGAUAUCGCCUCCUCUGAUUACAGUGACGACUUUGAGUGCGGCAGCAGCACCAGCAGCGGUGCCGAUGAUUGAAAACCGCCAACUGGGAGGCCGAGUUGGCAGCCCCCUCCUUCUCCCCCCUCUCUGCCGGCGAACGUCGGCGCUGGCAGUGGGCGUGAAGGAAGUCGCUUGUGUUGCUUGUUGGAAUCCUUUGGUUGCCAUCGCUGAAGCCCCCUUGUUGUGGAAGGCACACAAGCGACGCAGAACAGAAUGCUGAAGGUCCGAGCGUGGAUAGGAGGCGAAACGGGAGGGCGAGCACACGGUGUGCUGCCCCACCGUGGGCGUCAUGCCGCGGCCAAGACAGGGUAGGUGACAGCGAGAGACGCAUGUGGGCGUACGAGGGCAGCUGCAACUCGAGCCCGAGACGUGGGCGUGUAUCACCGCCUCUGCGCGGCUGUAGUUAUCGAUCACACCACCGCCUCGCCUCGCCAUGCUCACAGAAGAUUCCUGCAAGCCUACCAACACCCUGCUCCCCUCCCCCUCACGCACUCCUCCCACCUUCCUGUUCGCAUUGCCUGCAAUGGCAAUACUGACGCGUGAGUGCGCGUGUGCUUCACCGUAAAAACGAUGUAAUCACCUUUCCCGAACCAAG
This 1595-nucleotide unclassified non-coding RNA is filed under the name Leishmania donovani. Its description in RNAcentral is "gene:LdHU3.15.1700(CDS-product:hypothetical_prote in_conserved)". Lineage: Eukaryota; Euglenozoa; Kinetoplastea; Trypanosomatida; Trypanosomatidae. The record is from RNAcentral.